CCGCACCUGAUAACGAUCGUAUAUAUAUAUAUACACACACAGACACCCCCGAAACCGUACCCAAGCUGUGAAUUACUUUUUAUCAAAUUACUAUGGCAUAAUAUCCUUCUAAUUACAUAAUUUACAAAAAAAAAGAAUUAUAAAAUAUUGGCAGCGUAUUUACAAAUCGAUGCUUUUAUUAAGUAAUCUACAAAAUCUCACAAUAUGUUUGAGAUCGAGUUGAAAACUAUGUUAGAAAUAGAUAGAUUAUGUGACACCAACGUUUCGAUAAAUUUAACACAAGACAAUUUUAAAAUAGAGGGGCUUAAGAUCUGUAAUUUCAAAUUUAGUGCUACUUUCCAACUUAUAAUAAUUAGAUGGGUGUUAGCUUUUAAUGUUGUCUCUAUCUGUAUACAAAUUGGUUCAUCAUCAUGUCCAUAUCUAUGUGUGAAUAUGAGCUGUGAAAUGCAAACGCGUCUUUGCAUUGCUACUCUUCUAGCUAAUUAACCAGUUGUGAUCAAGUGCUAUAAAUGCCAAUGCUGAUCCCUAACAUUUGCUUUCUUGGGUUACAUUGCUAGUUUGAGUAUCAUACAGCUUUUCGAGCAAUUUCGAUACAGUGACAACAUUACAAUGUUGUUAAACGAUCACAAUUAUUUGAUAUUUUUUUUUUUUUU
Molecule: long non-coding RNA, 653 nt
Filed under: Fragaria vesca (wild strawberry)
Lineage: Eukaryota; Viridiplantae; Streptophyta; Magnoliopsida; Rosales; Rosaceae
Description: long non-coding RNA (FVES_LNC003199)
Source: RNAcentral